AUUGAACGCUGGCGGCAUGCCUAACACAUGCAAGUCGAACGAGACCUUCGGGUCUAGUGGCGCACGGGUGCGUAACGCGUGGGAAUCUGCCCCUUGGUUCGGAAUAACAGCGAGAAAUUGCUGCUAAUACCGGAUAAUGACGUAAGUCCAAAGAUUUAUCGCCAAGGGAUGAGCCCGCGUAGGAUUAGCUAGUUGGUGUGGUAAAGGCGCACCAAGGCGACGAUCCUUAGCUGGUCUGAGAGGAUGAUCAGCCACACUGGGACUGAGACACGGCCCAAACUCCUACGGGAGGCAGC
This 296-nucleotide ribosomal RNA is filed under the name uncultured bacterium. RNAcentral describes it as "partial 16S ribosomal RNA". It matches the Rfam family "Bacterial small subunit ribosomal RNA", at positions 30 to 352 of the family's 1533-position model. The record is from RNAcentral.